UUGUGAUUAAUGGAUUCAUGUUGCAUGUAGAAAUGCACGAGCAUUUUCCUAGUGAUUGUAGUUGGUCGGUAGUUGAGCAGUUACAGGGGUGAAUAUAUAUGAGCAUAAACUGUGAAAUAUAAUGGACAACUGUUAAAAUAAAUAUAAAAGAAAGAAAAAAAGGAGAUAAAAAUCAACUCUUAAGGCCGAUGGUCGCCCAACAUGGUGUUCUAGCCCAGUUCGUAAGCACUCUAGGCGACACCUUGUUUCGUCUCACAAUAGUCGACACAGAGUCGCUCCCCUAAGGUUAAGGUGAGUGCCAUGUGGUCGUGUGUGCAAGUCAGGGAAGACCCAAUCACUCAUGUGGGCCAUCCACCUCAAUACUGUAGGCAAAUAGGCAAUGCCCAAUAAUCUACAAAACCUAUUUUUCUUACCCACACCAAUGAGUCUCUCCCGUGGGGCUUGUCCAUUUGGUUAUUAGUAGCACAUCACCAGGGUGCAUAAAAUGGGGGCAGAAGCCUGACUAUUUAAUAGGGUGGUAUGCCUCGGGUGGAAGGCAUCCAUAUCCUUGGUGAAACGGACACGGGAUACUCUUUUAGUAUAAGUCGAAAACCGAAUCAAAAAGGAAAUAUAGAAACACCAAAACUUACUAACCGAAGUUUAUGUAGCAAAUGCCAGGGUCAGCCAUGUGAGGUGCCCAACAUGGUCAUGGGAUCGUCAAGCAGCGAUCCACAAGGGAGGAUAAAGGGGAUUGACAACCCAAGCUUUGUGGAUCUUGGAUGACCUCUCAUAAGGCCCAAAACCCACACCUCGUUUUCUUACAUGCAUGUUUCAUGUGAG
This 819-nucleotide long non-coding RNA is filed under the name Hordeum vulgare. Its description in RNAcentral is "long non-coding RNA (HVUL_LNC021545)". The record is from RNAcentral. Lineage: Eukaryota; Viridiplantae; Streptophyta; Magnoliopsida; Poales; Poaceae.